Long non-coding RNA from Sinocyclocheilus anshuiensis, 1664 nucleotides. The record is from Ensembl. NCBI's taxonomy places the organism in Eukaryota, Metazoa, Chordata, Actinopteri, Cypriniformes, Cyprinidae.
UAUAUGGUAUUAUGUUCAGUUAUGUAGACUAAUUCUCUGUUUUGUGUGAAAUAGGACCCAGAUGAGGAGGACCAAGAUGAUGAAGAGGAGGGAGAUUCCAAGGAUGAGGAUUCGGAGUACACUUUAGGCACAGCCGUUGAAAUCGGUCAUUUCUUCAGGGAAAGAAUCGUUCCGAGAGCAGUUUUGUAUUACACUGGAGAAGCCCUGGAGGAUGAUGAAAGUACCGGGGAUCCUCAGCCUGCAGAGUGCAAACAACAGUAGUUUGGAUCACUCACUCCUGCCACUGUCAAACCCCAUCAGCUCACCUAGAAUCAGCCCUGUAGUGCGGCGUACAUUCUCUGAUGAGCACACCAUCCAACAAAACAAAACAUGAUGAUGCAAUACAUUGGUAAACUAGUUUUUUAACCUACAAAAUUUGCUCACUUUAAAAUCCAGUUGCUAUACUACAACACUAUUGAUAAAUUGGGCAAUUCCAGAUUACAAUUCCCGGCUUCAGAAUGUAGAUAUAUACAUAAAUAAAUGUAAAACUAUUUUUUAAUUCAUCAUUUAGACAUGUACAGACAUAAUGACUUGAGAUAUGUCAUUGCAUAGCCAAAAAAAAACAAAAAAACUUGUAUUCUGACUUCCUGUGCACAUCUAACCUUUGUCAAGGUUGUUUGUAUUUAACAAAUAGUUUCUCUUCUCAUUUCUGAAGUGUUCCGUGUCAUGGGCAUAACCAUUUUUUAUGCAGUAUAUCUAUUUAUGUACUUUUUGAACAAAACUGUUUAUGUUCAUGCACUUAUUUAUGGAAUGUGCUAGCUAGCUAGCCAGUCCAACUAAUGUAUCUGCGAUAUCUUGCAGGCAUCAAUUAAUUGUGUUUAAUCAUAUCCGGCCUCUUUGCAAUAUAAAUAUCUAACAUUUCCAUCUUCAUUCGACUUUCUCUUUGAAGGUCAUAAUAAAAAAAAACUCUGCACUCCUCUACAUGAGUAUGCUCAGUCGAUGUAGUCUCAUUUUUUAUAUAUAUAUAUAUAUAUAUAUAUAUAAAUGUAUUUCAGUAUACGUUAUAUCCAUAAUGCUGGAAUUGCUCAAUUUAGAUAGUAUUCAAAGAUGAUAGGGCAAGUCCACUGCCAAUGGUCACUGAAUUCUGAGUGAACUGCAGGUGAUUACAUGUCCUUCGAGAUACAACAUCGCAUCCCAAAGUUGACUGAAUUCAUUUAUUUUGUGACUUAAUCUCAUAGAUUACUCAGGGUUUUUUAUGCCAAGAUGACAGUGUGCAAGUAUCCAGCAUUGUGAAACUGUUGAUAUCUAACCUGCUUCAUGUUCUCUUUUGUCUUGUAAAAGAAGGAAGACUUUUGAAAUGUGGCUUUUAGUUAUAACAGAGUUAUUUAUAUACAGUGGGUACGGAAAGUAUUCAGACCCCCUUAAACUGUAUAUUUUCCAUCUUUAUAUUAUUGUUUUGAACUCUGUCUUGGUCUUGUGCUUCUUGGUGGAUCCCUGAGAGAAUAUGUUUUGCUAAUGUAUGUAUUGUACCCAGUUGAUUAUAGCCCCUUUUAGCAUUUAAAAAUGCUUUUGCUGUACUGCCCAAGCACUUACAAAAAAAGUGUCUUUUAUUGCCAAAGAGAGUGAUCUGAUUUCACUUUACCACAACUUUUUCUGUGUCAAGAGUAUUUCAGGUCUGCAUUUCA